GAAAGUAAAAAAGGGCGCAUGGCGGAUGCCUUGGCUCUCGGAGGCGAUGAAGGACGUGAUAAGCUGCGAUAAGCUUUGGGGAGGUGCAAAUGACCUUUGAUCCAGAGAUUUCCGAAUGGGACAACCCAAUAUCUUGAAGAGGUAUUAUCCAACGUUGUUGGAGGCUAACGCAGGGAACUGAAACAUCUUAGUACCUGCAGGAAAAGAAAAUAAACAAUGAUUCCCCCAGUAGUGGCGAGCGAACGGGGAACAGCCCAAACCAUCCAUGUUACGGCAUGGGUGGGGUUGUAGGACUACGCCGUUGCAUGAAGACAUCAGAGAAGAACUUUCUGGAAAGAAAGACCAUAGAGCAUGACAGUUGCGUAUUCGAAUGUUGUCGAAGCAUAGUAGUAUCCUGAGUAGCGCGGAGCACGAGGAAUUCUGCGUGAAUCUGCCGGGACCAUCCGGUAAGGCUAAAUACUCCCGAGAGACCGAUAGCGAACCAGUACCGUGAGGGAAAGGUGAAAAGCACUUCGAACAGAAGAGUGAAAUAGUUCCUGAAACCGUGCGCCUACAAGCGGUCGGAGCUCGUUAAUGAGUGACGGCGUGCCUUUUGCAUAAUGAACCUACGAGUUGCCUUUGCCGGCAAGGUUAAGUGUGACGACACACGUAUCCGAAGCGAAAGCGAGUCUGAAGAGGGCGUAUAGUCGGCAGUGGCAGACGCGAAACCAAGUGAUCUACCCUUGGCCAGGUUGAAGGCUGGGUAACACCAGCUGGAGGACCGCACCAAUAAGCGUUGAAAAGCUUCUGGAUGAGCUGAGGGUAGGGGUGAAAGGCUAAUCAAACUUGGAGAUAGCUCGUACUCCCCGAAAUGCAUUUAGGUGCAGCCUUGCGGGUUACUGAUGUGAGGUAGAGCGACUGAUAAGAUGCGAGGGCUUCACCGCCUAUCAAGUCUUGACAAACUCCGAAUGCGCAUCAGUUCUACCGCAGGAGUGAGGGCAUGGGUGCUAAGGUCCGUGCCCGAGAGGAGAAGAAUCCGGACCACCUGCUAAGGUCCCGAAAUGACAGCUAAGUUAAACUAACGAAGUCUGACUGCUAAGACAGCUAGGAUGUUGGCUUGGAAGCAGCCAUUCAUUUAAAGAGUGCGUAACAGCUCACUAGUCGAGGAGUCGGGCGUGGAUAAUAAUCGGGUAUCAAGUUGUCUACCGAAGCAGUGGGAUCAUUAAUAUGAUCGGUAGGGGAGCAUUCCAGUCGGCGUCGAAGGCGUACCGUGAGGUAUUCUGGAGCGUCUGGAAAAGCAAAUGUAGGUAUAAGUAACGAUAAAGGGGGCGGGAAACCCCCUCGCCGAAAGACUAAGGUUUCCUGAUCAACGCUAAUCGGAUCAGGGUCAGUCGGGUCCUAAGGCUCAGCCGAACGGCGAUGCCGAUGGCAGAAACGGUUAAUAUUCCGUUACUACCUUCAGGAGUGACGUGGAGACGCAGUAGUGACAGUGCCGCCAUCUGACGGAAUAGAUGGUUGAAGGGUGUAGGAGUCGAUCAUGGCAGGCAAAUCCACCAUGAGAUCCGAACCUGACAGUAUGCCGCGUCCUUCGGGACAAGGCAAUAGUGCGCGUAAGCAUGCUGCCGAGAAAAUCCGCUAAACUUAAUCCUGCAGGUACCCGUACCGCAAACGGACACACGUAGUCGGGAUGAAUAUUCUAAGGCGCUUGAGUGAUUCACGGUUAAGGAACUAGGCAAACUGACCCUGUAACUUCGGGAUAAAGGGUCCCUACCCUUUUAUGGGAGGGCGCAGAGAAUCGGUCCAGGCAACUGUUUAACAAAAACACAGGGCUGUGCCAAAUCGAAAGAUCCAGUAUACAGCCUGACACCUGCCCGGUGCUGGAAGGUUAAGAGGAGAUGUCAUCGAUAAGAGAAGCGUUGAAUUGAAGCCCCAGUAAACGGCGGCCGUAACUAUAACGGUCCUAAGGUAGCGAAAUUCCUUGUCGGGUAAGUUCCGACCUGCACGAAUGGUGUAAUGAUCUGGACGCUGUCUCAACCGUGAGCUCAGUGAAAUUGUAGUAUCGGUGAAGAUGCCGAUUACCCGCGAUGGGACGAAAAGACCCCGUGAACCUUUACUAUAGCUUAUCAUUGAAUCUGGGCACGUGAUGUGUAGGAUAGGUCGGAGGCUUUGAAGCAGGUACGCCAGUAUUUGUGGAGCCGCUGUUGAAAUACGACCCUUUAUUUGUUUGGAUUCUAACCCGUGGAUACGGGGACAUUGAUUGGUGGGUAGUUUGACUGGGGUGGUCGCCUCCAAAAGCGUAACGGAGGCUUCUAAAGGUGCCCUCCGGCCGAUUGGUAACCGGCCUUAGAGUGUAAUGGCAUAAGGGCGCUUGACUGGGAGACUGACAAGUCGAUCAGGUAGGAAACUAGAGCAUAGUGAUCCGGUGUUUCCGUAUGGAAGGGACAUCGCUCAAAGGAUAAAAGGUACUCCGGGGAUAACAGGCUGAUCCCUCCCAAGAGCUCAUAUCGACG
Molecule: ribosomal RNA, 2489 nt
Filed under: metagenome
Description: bacterial LSU rRNA
Rfam family: Bacterial large subunit ribosomal RNA
Source: RNAcentral